Molecule: long non-coding RNA, 683 nt
Organism: Patella vulgata (common limpet)
Lineage: Eukaryota; Metazoa; Mollusca; Gastropoda; Patellidae
Exons: 3
Source: RefSeq, a predicted model, not a curated record
AGUUCGUACCAUCAACAUCGUUUUUGUUCUUUUAUUCACCCAUCGUAACUCGAAGCCAUGAGUCUGCUAUUUAUGGGCCCAGCCUGAGAAUCCAUUUCGGGAUUACUCAUACAUCGUUCCCAACAUAAAUCUGGUAGCAGAGCGUGGUUUUACUGUGUGGAAAAUAUGAAAUCUGAAUGAUAAUAUGGUACAACUGAACUCCAUGGUUGCUGUUUACAUCGAGCUCCACGUGCAUGACCCCCAAAUCGCCAGAAUGUCAUCCAAGAUAUAUCAUCAUGUGAAGAUAUAAAGAGAUGUAACCCAUCUUAUGUUGAUGGUGAAUAUUGGUUAUAUCCUGUUAUAUAUAAUCAUACCAGAGUGAAGAUAUAUUGCUAUGAAUUGUCAUCGUUACAACCGACAGAAUACGUGACUCUUCACCACCUUAACCAAGCUGUAACACUUACUGGUGGUUAUUCUGGACCGUCGACGAAUUGCAGUAUCGAUGAAACGCUUGUAUAUAAUGACCAAGGAGAGACUGAGUGGAACAAAAUCCGACUGGAUAUUACCUCCGGGGAAGUUCUAGAUGAUCAUACGUUUACCAUACAAACAAGUGGAGUACCAAUACCAUAUGGUGAGGCCGAAGGUUGUUCUAAUAUAGUAUACUACCUAUCAUGUCCUAAACGUGGUUAUGCUUUGGUUGAUGU